GGUGAACGCUGGCGGCGUGCCUAACACAUGCAAGUCGAGCGGUGCAGUUUGAAGCUUCGGUGGAAAGCUGCAUAGCGGCGGACGGGUGAGGAAAACGUAGGAACGUGCCCCUUGGAGUUGGAUAGCCACGGGAAACUGUGGGUAAACCGACAUAGACUCGAGAGAGUAAAGGCCGAAAGGCGCCAAGGGAGCGGCCUGCGGCCCAUCAGGUAGUUGGUAGUGUAAAGGACUACCAAGCCGACGACGGGUAGCCGGUCUGAGAGGAUGGCCGGCCACAAGGGCACUGAGAGACGGGCCCUACUCCUACGGGAGGCAGCAGUGGGGGAUUUUGGACAAUGGGCGAAAGCCUGAUCCAGCGACGCCGCGUGGAGGACGAAGCCCUUCGGGUGUAAACUCCUUUUCUCAGGGAAAAAGGAUGAUGGUACCUGAGGAAUAAGCCCCGGCUAACUACGUG
Molecule: ribosomal RNA, 454 nt
Filed under: uncultured bacterium
Lineage: Bacteria
Description: bacterial SSU rRNA
Rfam family: Bacterial small subunit ribosomal RNA
Source: RNAcentral